UGUACGAAAAGGCAAAAUCAUUGAAAAGUGGUGGCGCAAAACUAUAGGGGCUAAGGUGAAAAUACUAUGCUAGCCAGUUAUCGAA
Molecule: non-coding RNA, 85 nt
Filed under: Domibacillus iocasae
Lineage: Bacteria; Bacillati; Bacillota; Bacilli; Caryophanales; Bacillaceae
Description: c-di-GMP sequence
Rfam family: c-di-GMP-I riboswitch aptamer
About the family: GEMM was predicted in a large-scale screen for bacterial structured RNA regulatory elements. Genes associated with GEMM are involved in a diverse array of functions, including chemotaxis regulation, signal transduction, secretion and chitin.
Source: Rfam by way of RNAcentral